GAUGAAGAACGUAGCGAAAUGAGAUAAGUAAUGUGAAUUGCAGAAUUCAGUGAAUCAUCGAAUCUUUGAACGCACAUUGCGCCCCUUGGUAUUCCGAGGGGCAUGCCUGUUCGAGCGUCAUUAUAACCCCUCAAGCUCAGCUUGGUGUUGGGGCCUGCUGCACUGGCAGCCCUUAAAAUCAGUGGCGGCGCCAUCUGGCUCUAAGCGUAGUAAUUCUUCUCGCUAUGGAGUCCUGGUGGAUGCUUGCCAUCAACCCCCAAUUUUUCUAUGGUUGACCUCGGAUCAGGUAGGGAUACCCGCUGAACUUAAGCAUAUCAAUAAGCGGAGGA
Molecule: unclassified non-coding RNA, 329 nt
Filed under: soil metagenome
Description: partial contains 5.8S ribosomal RNA, internal transcribed spacer 2, and large subunit ribosomal RNA
Rfam family: 5.8S ribosomal RNA (bases 1-120)
Source: RNAcentral